UAAGGAGAGAAAGCAAACAGACACCAAAAAUGCAAAUAGCAAAUGUGAUAUUAUUACUGAUGUUUGGAUUAUCAGGCAAAAAAAGAAAUGAAACCUCCAAGAAUGUGAAACAAAUAAAAACAAAAAACAAAAUUUGUUUCCAAAUAGGCCUAUUACACUUUCGGCCAGGUACCAUGGGAGGUUAUGCCUUGGGGCCUGAGUAGGCGAGUAAGUACUUCCUGUCUACUGGACACAGGUCUCGGAAUAAUAUUUGUGAAGACGAUAGGCUGUACGUUGACUGUGGUCUUCCCAGUAUUCAGAAAAAGUGCAAAUAUUAUUUCUGUAACUACUACUAAAUAAGUGAGUUAUUUUUCUCUUUUAGUGCCCUUAUUUAAUUGGUCAUUAGGUAGAGCUAUCGCUGGAUCCUGAAUAUCUUUUCGAGCUGACCUUGCCUCUUUGUCCACAGCCACUGUGUUCAGGCCUCGCAGUUGCCUACCUGGAGGCAGAGAACACCAAGGUUGGGGGGGGCACCAAGGACUGAGGCUGACAGUGGCCGCCACUGAAGUUGGCAGGAUCACGUGGAAUUAAUUAGGAAGGAGGCUACUCUCAACCCUGACUUCAUGUCACAAUCACAGGCACAGCCCAGCCCCAUCCCAGAGAUACUCGCUCGGUUUGUCUGCGGGGUGGGGGUGGGGGGCGACGCAUGUUUUUAGAAGUGCCCGAGGCCCAGGCGAUUUUAAUGCACUGCCCGAGCUCACAACUACUGGACUGUGGUUCUUCAAGAGUGGUGCCCGGUCCAGAUACAACAGCAUCACUGGGGAAGCUGUGUGACUCGCAAAGUCUGGACAGCUCUACCCAAAUCUACUGAAUCAAACUAGGGGGUGAGGCCCGGCCAUCCGCCUCGUAACAAGCUCCCAGGGCAUUCUGAUGUGGCCAGCAGUGACAAAACAGAUACAGACGCAGCAGCCUGGGAGACAGGACCGAAAGAAUGUGUCCUCAUCUGUGAAACAGGCUCCUGAUAAAGUCUCCUUCUUCUGGGGGCUGUGAGGAUUAAAUCAGACCAUCUAUGCCAAGCACUUGAAGGCUUCUGGAACCUAGUACUUUCCGUUAGCUCGUGUUAGUGUUAUUUCCUUUCCUGCUUUAACUGGAAAGGGUGUCUGCCUCUUCUGCAAAAGAAGAUUCCAUCCUGCAGCCCCCACGGCCACAGUGACUUGUAUGAGGACGGGUGACCCAGCUCGUGUAAUCACAGUGAACCUCAGGACUUCUGCUUGGAACACAGCAACAAGAGCUCCUCUAUCUUUUGAACAGUUAUCAGACUCAUCUGGGCCGUGGACUGGCUGUGGCUUUUUUACUGCACUGAGAACCCAGCUUGGGGAUGAAGUUAUCACAAAAAUGAUGGCACAAAUAAGCUGAGAAAAGGAGCCAGAACUCUAGGAACAUGAUGACUGUCGAGAACAAACUAUGCCUGUAGGCUCUCUACCACUGAGCUCAGUUCUGCGGGCCCAUUUGUUGGGUUAUCUAUUCCUUGCAAGCAAAGGACCCUUAUGAACGCAGGAAACACACAUAAGAUUGCCUAUUAUUUUGUCAACCAAUAACAUAAAAAUCAAAGCGAGGCCUCUCAGAUCAA
Molecule: non-coding RNA, 1606 nt
Organism: Microcebus murinus (gray mouse lemur)
Lineage: Eukaryota; Metazoa; Chordata; Mammalia; Primates; Cheirogaleidae
Source: RefSeq, a predicted model, not a curated record